GACGAACGCUGGCGGCGUGCUUAACACAUGCAAGUCGAACGGAAAGGCCCUGCUCUUGUGGGGUGCUCGAGUGGCGAACGGGUGAGUAACACGUGAGUAACCUGCCCUUGACUUUGGGAUAACUUCAGGAAACUGGGGCUAAUACCGGAUAUGAGCACCUGCUGCACGGGGGGGGUGGGUAAGUGUCGGCGGUUGGGGAUGGACUCGCGGCUUAUCAGCUUGUUGGCGGGGUGGUGGCUUACCAAGGCUUUGAGGGGUAGCCGGCCUGAGAGGGUGACCGGCCACAUUGGGACUGAGAUGCGGCCCGGACUCCUACGGGAGGCAGCAGUGGGAGAUAUAGCACAAUGGGCGGAAGCCGGGUGCAGCAACGCCGCGUGGGGGAUGACGGCCUUCGGGUUGUAACCCGCGUUCGCCUGUGACGAAGCGUGAGUGGCGGUAAUGGGUAAAGAAGCACCGGCUAACUACGUG
Molecule: ribosomal RNA, 468 nt
Filed under: uncultured bacterium
Lineage: Bacteria
Description: partial 16S ribosomal RNA
Rfam family: Bacterial small subunit ribosomal RNA
Source: RNAcentral